AGCGGUAAGGCCCUUCGGGGUACACGAGCGGCGAACGGGUGAGUAACACGUGGGUGACCUGCCCUCAGCUCUGGGAUAAGCCUGGGAAACCGGGUCUAAUACCGGAUAUGACCUGCUUCUGCAUGGGAGUGGGUGGAAAGUUUUUUCGGCUGGGGAUGGGCCCGCGGCCUAUCAGCUUGUUGGUGGGGUGAUGGCCUACCAAGGCGACGACGGGUAGCCGGCCUGAGAGGGCGACCGGCCACACUGGGACUGAGACACGGCCCAGACUCCUACGGGAGGCAGCAGUGGGGAAUAUUGCGCAAUGGGCGGAAGCCUGACGCAGCGACGCCGCGUGGGGGAUGACGGCCUUCGGGUUGUAAACCUCUUUCGACCGGGACGAAGCGUAAGUGACGGUACCGGGAUAAGAAGCACCGGCCAACUACGUGCCAGCAGCCGCGGUAACACGUAGGGUGCGAGCGUUGUCCGGAAUUAUUGGGCGUAAAGAGCUCGUAGGCGGUGUGUCGCGUCGGCCGUGAAAACCUGGGGCUUAACUCUGGGCUUGCGGUCGAUACGGGCAUCACUGGAGUUCGGCAGGGGAGACUGGAAUUCCUGGUGUAGCGGUGAAAUGCGCAGAUAUCAGGAGGAACACCGGUGGCGAAGGCGGGUCUCUGGGCCGAUACUGACGCUGAGGAGCGAAAGCGUGGGGAGCGAACAGGAUUAGAUACCCUGGUAGUCCACGCCGUAAACGUUGGGCGCUAGGUGUGGGGGCCAUUCCACGGUCUCUGUGCCGCAGCUAACGCAUUAAGCGCCCCGCC
Molecule: ribosomal RNA, 794 nt
Filed under: Pseudonocardia sp.
Lineage: Bacteria; Bacillati; Actinomycetota; Actinomycetes; Pseudonocardiales; Pseudonocardiaceae
Description: bacterial SSU rRNA
Rfam family: Bacterial small subunit ribosomal RNA
Source: RNAcentral